This is a non-coding RNA of Coturnix japonica (Japanese quail), 524 nucleotides long. The record is from RefSeq and is a predicted model, not a curated record. NCBI's taxonomy places the organism in Eukaryota, Metazoa, Chordata, Aves, Galliformes, Phasianidae.
GGGGUCUAUGGGGUCUCUAUGGGGUCUAUGGGGUCCCUUUGGGGUCACUUCUGUCCCCCCCAGGUCCCGGCGCUCCAUUGGACUCCAACAGAGACAAGCCGACGUUGGAUCAGCCCCAAAGCAGCUUCCAGAUCAUCCCCCCUGUGCGAUACCCCUCCCACGUCCCCCCCCAGCUCUAUGGGGCGGCACCGGAGACGAUCCCGAUCCCGAACCCGAACCUGAACCCAAAGCUCUCGUGGGUCACACGGGGACAUGGAGAUAUAGGUUCCCCCCAACUCCCCCAUCAGCCCCGAAUCUCCACCAGCAGAACGGAACCAGACAGAGCGUCCCCCACGUGCGGCCCUGAGAGCGAGGAUGACUACAGCAACGAGGUGUACGCCUCCGGAUACGUGAAGGUGCUUCCGGACCCACAGGACUCGACGCAGCAACAACACGACAACGACCAGCCCCACAACCACGCCACCCCCACAGAGCCGUACGAGAACGUCCCCGAUGUGACCCGACACUCCCUGGGUGAGUCCCUG